Long non-coding RNA from Lactuca sativa (garden lettuce), 5018 nucleotides. RefSeq lists it as uncharacterized. The record is from RefSeq and is a predicted model, not a curated record. NCBI's taxonomy places the organism in Eukaryota, Viridiplantae, Streptophyta, Magnoliopsida, Asterales, Asteraceae.
AUUAAAUCUGAAACACGACACAUGUAAACAUUAGAUGACUAGUAAAAUGUAAAAAUAAUAUUUAAUUUCUCAUAAAAUAUAUUCUUAUUGGUAGUUUCUUUAAUCAAUAUGAAACCGGGCCGUUGUAAUGGGCUGCGUGAGGAGGGGACUUGACCGGUUAAAUGAAAAGUACGUGCAAACCCUAAAAUUUCCUUCAAAUACCUGCAGUCGCCUCUUCGACAUUUUCAUCAUCAACAUGCUCAUUAUCAUAGUUGUAGGUAUGAUUUAUGGUGGACGAUUUCAAGUUAGAAUUCAAAAAAUAAGAAAAUUCGGUUAUCAAUAGAGAUCGAUAAAUGUAUUAAUGUUUUAGUGAAAAACUUGUAUGUGGCUAGACGUGACAAACAUGUUGUGUCGGCUUUGUAUCGAUUAAAGACAUUAAAUGGGUUUAAAGAGUUUGACCUUAACCCGAUCUGUUUAAUUAUUGUGUUCUGUAAAUAAAACUCUAGAGUUGUGAGAUGGAAUCAUGGAAUGACAAAAUUUAUAGCAAGUUUAGAAGAAAAAAUGAAAAGAAUUAAAGUUGGGGAGCAAAGGGAUAAGUGGUGAGGAUGAUUAUAAUUAAGUAACUUUAAAAAUUUGAAUAUUAUUUUUAAUUUUUGAGUUUGACCAUUAUAACAUAUAAUAAUACUUAUAAAAAUAUGAAACUUAUAAUAAAUAAUAUAUGAUUAAACAGAUCAUAUUCGAGUUGAAAAUCUUGAUUCUAAUCUUAUUUGUUUAAGUAUCAUGUCGUGUCAACCCGUUUACAUAAACGUUUUGAAAUCUAUGACCCUAACCUGUUAAUUUCAUGUUGGGUUCGUAUUAGGUUUUCAUGUCAUCAUGUUUUGCCGGUCUAUAUGUGGCUGGCCUUUUUUUUAUCAGGAUAAUAUGACUUUGCAAAGGUUUGGGGCAAUGAUCCAAUGUAGCAUGGUCAGGUGCCAUUAAUCUCCUCAUUAGAUGUCCAAAUGCCUUUUUAAUGGGUAAACUUUUACUUUAGCUCCGAAACUACUAAAAAAAAGAUACGGGAAAAACAAAAGCCAAUGAAAUAAGAGGUCUAUUAACUCAGUACUUGUAUUGUUUUUUAUUUAUAAUCAUUUUUAAAAUAAAGAACAGUUAUUUGAAAUGGAUUCCGAAGCAUAUUUGCUAAAGAGCAUCAUUCAAAACUACAAAGCAAAUUUUACUUGUCCGGUCAUACCUUUUUCGUCUCAAAAUUAUUGUCUACAAAUUAAAAACACACAGAUUAAGAAAACAUUAAUUAUAUAUACAUAUUAAAUUUGGACAAUCCUUAGAAACAAUACUGUUUCCUCGGGUUCGCUUCCUCAACCAUGGUAACUGCCCCACAACCGUUCAUCUCGCCGCCCCGCUCGCCCAAUCACAUACACUUGUUUCCACCGUCUUCUAUUUCUUUUUCUGCCUCCGUCUUUUUACGAUCACUCUCCAGUUCCUUCCAUUCCCUACCCUCUGCUCCCCCACCCACUCUCUCAAUUUACGUCUCCUCCAUCGAUUCCAGCUUUUCUAGGUCGUGAUUAGAAAGGAGCAGCGGUGGCACCACUAAGAGGGUGUUUGACAUUGCUUUUAGAAUAGCCUUUUAACUUUUAACUUUUUUAAAAAAUAAAAAAAAAAAAAGACAAAAGAUGUAUGAAUAGGAAAAAAGUUCCUUUUAGAAUGACUUUUUGCAAACAAGAAAAAGGGAGGCUUCAAAAAGUCACAUUUUGUGACUUUUGGGGAUUUUCCAUAUAAAAGUUAGACAAAAAAUUAUUUUAUUAACCCAAACAUAUUUUAAAUAUCAUCUUUUGCAAAAAAAAGUUUUUUAUAAAAAGUCCUAUCAAAAGAAAUUUUGAUAUUUCAAAACCCCCUGAAUACCCAAGAGAUGGAGAUCGAGCAGGUUUUACAUACCUCAACUUCUUCCGUUUUCUCCAUCGGCUUCAGGAGUAAUAUCCUUAUGGCCAUUAUCGAUCGAUUCCUCUAUUCUACUUCUAUUCUUCUGCCGAGUACUCUUCGACUUUACCACACCGGUUCUUUUCGUUUCCCUUUUCUGGCUUCCAAUCAAACGAUUACACUUUCAUUCUACCGGGUUUAAUCCACCGCUCAUCAUCUCUACCGCCUUAAUCGACUUUCACAUCGCUAAACCCCUCUCAAAUAGAUGGUCAAAACUCGCUCCUUCCACUCGCCUACCUACCAAAUAUGUUCUGCUUUUGACGACCCAAAGGCGCCACCAAUGCAUUGAUAGAAGUUCACCAUCGUCUGAGGUAUGCAAAACCUGCUCGAUCUCCAUCCCUUCGUCCACUUUGAAAAUCGAAUGGUCGACUUCUGGUUCAGGUUUGUGUUUCGUACUUUUUCUAGGGUUUAUGUAUGGUUUCUACUUCUGCUUCGUUUUUGCUGAAAUGCAGGUAAGGAUUUUCCUUAUGUUUCUUACUUUCUCGCUUUAUGCCAUUGUGAUACUUAUGGAUUCGAGUAGUUCGCCAGGACCGACGAAGGAGUUGUGAUGGCCAAGAGGUUGCUUUUGGUGAUUAAGAACAUCUCCAAUUAUGUAAUUUUUUCGAUUUCAGGGCUCAAUUUCAUAUGGAAUUCGAUUUUUAUUCAUGGCUCAAUUUUUUUGAUUUCAGGGCUCAAUUUUUUAUUUUCAUUUUAAUGAUACAUGCUUAAUUAUAUAUUAAACAAUGAUUUUUUUUUUCCAAAUUAGGGUCCAAAUUUGGAUGAAAUUGGAUUUAGAUUUGAGUUAUCUAACAUCUAAUUGUAUAAGUUAUGUUUUUUUCCUUCAUUUGUUGGUGUUGAUAUAGGGUAUGACUACAUGUUUUUAUCAUGGUUACUCAGUUGGUUCCCACUCCAAAAAGAGGGGAUUGGAUGAUUACUUCACAACUUUCUGCGCAGCUGGAUCGAUCAUGAAUGAUUUACUUGCAUUGGUAUGUCUUAUCAAGUAAAUACUUAUGUAUCAGAAAGUUAUGGCAUAGUUACUUCCAAUGAAAUAACAAACCAAAGCCUUUUUUGUUUGAAGCUGUGGGUAUAAUAAACAUCGAAUCCUAUAUUUCAGCUUUCUAACUCACGUUACAAAUGCAUUUUUUUAGUUGUUAAUCCACCUUCAUUUUAUGAAGAAAGUCAUAAUUUGAUAUGAUAUUCAAAAGAUCGAUAGAGGAUAGUCUUUGCAAGUGACAACCUCUAAGCUAUGUUUUGUAUUCCAAAAGGGUAUGUAUGCAGCACACCAUACGAUUGUGGAAAUUCCAUAUUUGUUUCUUUUUGUUUUUGUUUUUCAUCUUCCUUUUCUUUUUUAAUUUUUGUUCAGUUCGUGUUAAACAUAGUUGGCUAUGUUAAGCCAUGUUCAUGUUGGUAGGAAAUACAAAGACACGGAAAGGCAACCCUUGGAUGUUUCUAGGUAAAAGAAUGUCUAACUCAAUGAUUAAUGAUAUAAUAGGAGACACGGAAGCUUUCCACACCACCGAUCAUUUAGUAAAACGCCUAAAUUACAAACAGAUUCCACCGAACUUUGUUAAAAAAAAACCAAUAGGUGAUCAUGGCAUUUGAGUGGUUAAAAGGUAGGUGAUAGUUCUCUGUAAAGAUUUGGGCCACAAAAUCUAGAUAAACACUACCCUAAAGCUACAUAAUUCAAAAUUUUUUAUUAGGAAGAGAGUUGGAGUGCUCAAAUUUGAAGAACUACUUGGUCUACAGUCGAUUUGGGUCCCAGGUAGCUUUUGUUUCCUUUUUUAAGUUCAAUAUUAAUGCUAACCCAAACUACUUAUGGUUAUUUGAAACUCUUGUAGCAGGAAAUCUUCUCUAAAACCUUUUGUUCUGAUCUAGACAAAUUAAGAGUACGUUGUUAUUUCGUACAUUUAUCUCUAAGCGAGGUAACAUCGUUUUUUUACCAAGGGGUUAUAUGCUAUAAAUGUAGGUUGUCUUGAUUAUUAGUAUUCGAUAUAUCCAUAGAAAUCACUAUUCCUUUCAUAUGCAUACUAAAAAAAAAUAUCAGAGGACCUACAAAUUUGCUAUGCCUGCUUCUAAGUCAAAUCAGCAAUGAGGAUUACAAUAAACUAUAGUUUGUAAGUCAAACAAGCAAUGAGGAUUAUAAUAAACUAUAGUUAUCCCUGUAUUUUUUUUAAGUAUUUGGGACUAAAAUUGUAAUUUUUUACAGAUUCAGAGACCAAAAUUAUGAUUUACCCUUUCAUAAAUUGAGAUGAUGUAUGUUUCUUUUCCAGUUUAGUACGUUCAUUGAUGUUUUAGGGUUUGUUUGAUUGCAUUUUGCAUUUUUAGGAGUAAUAUGCCCUAAAUAGCAUUGAACUUUGCGUUUAUAUAUAUAUAUAUAUAUAUAUAUAUAUAUAUAUAUAUAUAUUCUGUUUUUGUUUUCACUUUCUUUAAUUUCUUUACCAAAAAACCAAAAUACAUUGCCAUUUGGUUCAUUUUCCAUUUUUUGUUUAUAAAUACAAUAAAUAGCAUUGCACUUUCAAUUUACAUUUUUUUGCUUUUUUUAAAAUUUGUUUUGGGUUACUUUAUAUAUUCUUUAAUAUAAAACAGUUAAUAUGAUUUCAAUGGUGGAGGUGAUAUGGUUUUGAUUCUGGGGCAAAAUUGAACCAACUAACUGAACCAGAAAACAAUGCAGGGGCAAAAUUGUCCAGCUUAUAGGUAUGCUGCUCAAAAUCUCUAUGAAUUGUGACCCAAGAAAGAAAGACUUAAUGGAUGGUUUUAAGAUUAAAGGAUUUUUUCUGUUAUUAACUUUUACACUUAUUAGUUAACUAUUACAAUUCGAUCAAUCUUUACAGCAACUUAAAUUAUUUUAUGGCUUAAUUUGACUCUUCUAAUUUGCAAAGUUUUUGCAGCUCGGGUUAAUUCUUGGAUUUGGAGCUAUAAUUGCAAGGUUGCAAUAUUUUUCAGUUUUUGCUAAAUUUUAAACUAAUACUAUCAUUUUGUAGACCUUUAAUUACACCUACUCAUUUUUAAUAAUUGUUUGUUUUAAUAUUGUAUUUGACAUGGAAGCAUUUGUAUAAUUGCAGUUAAUAGCAACAUACUUUGAAUUUUCA